This 72-nucleotide transfer RNA is filed under the name Phalanger gymnotis. RNAcentral describes it as "tRNA-Asn". It matches the Rfam family "tRNA". From Rfam's summary of the family: Transfer RNA (tRNA) molecules are approximately 80 nucleotides in length. Lineage: Eukaryota; Metazoa; Chordata; Mammalia; Diprotodontia; Phalangeridae. The record is from RNAcentral.
UAAAUUGAAGCCAAAUGUUUAGGCACUUAGCUGUUAACUAAGAGGUAGUGGGAUAGAGCCCCACCAAUUUAG